GAUGAACGCUAGCUACAGGCUUAACACAUGCAAGUCGAGGGGUAACGAGAGGAAAGCUUGCUUUCCUUGUCGACGACCGGCGCACGGGUGAGUAACACGUAUCCAACCUGCCCCCAACCAAGGAAUAACCUUGCGAAAGUAAGACUAAUACCUUAUAAUUUCCUCAGAUGUCAUCUGACGAGGAAUAAAGAUUUAUCGGUUGUGGAUGGGGAUGCGUCUGAUUAGCUUGUUGGCGGGGUAACGGCCCACCAAGGCAACGAUCAGUAGGGGUUCUGAGAGGAAGGUCCCCCACAUUGGAACUGAGACACGGUCCAAACUCCUACGGGAGGCAGCAGUGAGGAAUAUUGGUCAAUGGGCGGAAGCCUGAACCAGCCAAGUAGCGUGCAGGAUGACGGCCCUAUGGGUUGUAAACUGCUUUUAUACAGGAAUAAAGUUAGCCACGUGUGGUUAUUUGUAGGUACUGUAUGAAUAAGGACCGGCUAAUUCCGUGCCAGCCGCCGCGGUAA
RNAcentral lists this ribosomal RNA (506 nucleotides) under uncultured bacterium. RNAcentral's name for it is "partial 16S ribosomal RNA". It matches the Rfam family "Bacterial small subunit ribosomal RNA", at positions 28 to 523 of the family's 1533-position model. The record is from RNAcentral.